RNAcentral lists this non-coding RNA (23 nucleotides) under Cricetulus griseus (Chinese hamster). The record is from RNAcentral. Lineage: Eukaryota; Metazoa; Chordata; Mammalia; Rodentia; Cricetidae.
ACAUGGAAGCAGAAUGUUGUAGA